UCAGCGCUUGUCCCAGCGAUCCAGCCAUUACUUGAAACCAUCCUGAGAAUGCGCGCCUCUCUGGAAAUUGUCUUCAACCCUCCAGCACAUUCUUUUGAAUGUUCUUGAUGAGGGCAAAUCCGAGACUUUCGAGUCUGAAUAUUUGUUCGUAUGUAACAGUUGCUUGGUCGUUCCAAAAAGCACCCGAGCCAUACUUCUGCCAGGCAGCCUUCCUGUGUUUCCUCCGCUCCUCUGCUCCUCCAACUCUCUAACUUGAGAUUGAAGUGUGCACAGCUCACAGUUUACUUUAUGUCUUAUAAGGACCUAGACAAGAGGACACAAAUGUCACCAAUGCAAGGGAUGUCUUUAUGGAGCAAGAAAUGCUCAUGGGCCUGAUCUGAGAUUUGAGUACCAUGUGUUCAAUGUACCCCAACGCCACACUUUACCUCACAAGUAUUCUCAACUAUUACAUAAAAUAAAAUAAAAGGUGGAGGAGAAGAGGCUCUGGAAAGGUGGCUCAGUUCAUAAAGGAGCCACAGAAGCCAUUCUGGACUUCCUUCUGUUUCUGCGCAAGCAUCAUCUACCUAUUAGCUUUUGCUCUUCUUAAACAAUAGCCACUUCUUGCUCCAUUACAGCCGUGCCUUUCUACCGUGCUGUGUAUCUUGGCUCCUGAGCUGCUGCUGUGAAGAGACAUUGUGACCAAGGAGGACCUUGUUUUAGGUACAAGAAGAAGGGCCACCUCUUCUCUACACUCUGCAUCUGUGUUCAGAUCAUCACACGGAUGGACUUGCCUGGAGCAAUGGAGCCCUCUCAGUACCCGCCUGCAUGGGAUUGUUUGCAGUUGCC
This is a long non-coding RNA of Mus caroli (Ryukyu mouse), 825 nucleotides long. RefSeq lists it as uncharacterized. The record is from RefSeq and is a predicted model, not a curated record. NCBI's taxonomy places the organism in Eukaryota, Metazoa, Chordata, Mammalia, Rodentia, Muridae.